RNAcentral lists this small RNA (607 nucleotides) under Pongo abelii (Sumatran orangutan). RNAcentral's name for it is "processed transcript". The record is from RNAcentral. Lineage: Eukaryota; Metazoa; Chordata; Mammalia; Primates; Hominidae.
CAGGGAGAGGAGAGGAGCCAGAAGUUGAGUUCAACCACCAGUGGCCAAUGAUUUCAUCAACCAUGCCUGCAUGAUGAAGCCUCCAUAAAACCCUAACCAAAGCGGUUAGGAGAACUUCUGGGGUGAGAAGUCAUUUCUCCUUAUGGCUGACCCUGUAUUGAGAAUGAUACCUGGAGUGCCAGCUAGCUGACACAUAUCAGAUAGGAUUCGAGUAGAAUGUUGCAGAAACCCAGAGGACAUUUCUGAACACUUUACACUACUCAAGGUGGCAAAGGAGAGACAUGGAGCCAUUUGAGGCACUCAAUCGUUGCAUUGCAAGAAAACAUGGAAUUACAUCCAUUCCUCCAGUGACUAAUAUUUGCUUCACUAAUAUCAAAUUUGCACCUUGCUGCUCAGUUUCUGGGCCUUUAUGGGAACACAACAAUAAGUAUUCAUUUCAAUGCCAAAUCAUGCUGUAAUCUUUUUGAAGACAUUGUCAGAAGCACUUAAACUCAAGACAUAUUGUGCAUAUAAUGCACAUGACUCUCUUGAAGUGAUGACAAUGAACAGCCAUGGCCAAGCACCCAUGCACAGGUCAGAAGACUUCAUCAUACCUGGCAAUGGAUAU